UGUUUCUGAAAACCAUUGAUAUUCAUUCAAAAGAUGUAUAGAUACCGAAUACAAACAUGGACAAGCGGCAGACAGGAGGUUCAUUGCUCGAAAUUGACGAUAAUAUCAUAAGGAAACAACUGCUGUUAGAGGGAGAUGUACCCAAAGAGCUGGAGUCGCUGUUCCCCGCUUCCUCGGCACCCCAGAGAACGGAAACGAUCAAACCGAAGCCAGGACUUUGCGUCAAGACACGCAAUGAAGACAAACAGAAGUUGUUCAUCAACGU
RNAcentral lists this long non-coding RNA (265 nucleotides) under Penaeus japonicus. RNAcentral describes it as "uncharacterized LOC122247908". Lineage: Eukaryota; Metazoa; Arthropoda; Malacostraca; Decapoda; Penaeidae. The record is from RNAcentral.